UAAUAUUGUUCUCUCCUCCUAUAUGUUGUAUUGUAUGCAGGCUCGCAGAAAGGGCUUUGUUUAUGUUCAGUAAUAUUGUUCUCUCCUCCUAUAUGUUGUAUUGUAUGCAGGCUCGCAGAAAGGGCUUUGUUUAUGUUCAGCCUUUUGAUUUGGCGUUUCUGUUUAACGUUGCUUGUGGCAUUGAAUUUAUAUAGACAUGUCAUGCUGCUUCCUAUUCAAGAUACUGAAGGGCCUUUUUUGUGCCUCUCCUUCAGUGGAGUGUUCUCCGCAUAGACAACAGAAGGGUACAGGAGGUAAACAGGAAGUGAACUGUGUGUGUGGUGUGUGAUGUCCCUUCUCACAACAGUCAGCAGUUUCAAGUGCAUCAUUACAUUGGUGUGACCGUGACAGAUAAGGUACAACAUCCAUCCUAUCCGUUUCAUCGGUUUAAAAAAAGAUGCCCCCCCCACACUUUUGAGAUGAAGUUGGAAGAUGAUCUCAUUUAAACUGAAUUGGGGAGAAACUGAGAGCAAUACGCUAUUUAUUAACUACUUGCAUAAGAGUGAGUGUAACUGCUUGCAUAUUUUAAGCAAUUUUUAAAGUUGUACAACUUUUUGAGUAAACAAUUUCAGUGCUUCUUAUAAAUUUAAAAAAUGAAACACCAUACUGACAAUUUGGAUGACAUUUUAGAAUCAGUAACAAAAUCUUUUAGCCAUAUAUACACACUGUGUGUACACAAUGAACAGGAUUCAAUACAAAGUUAAUUAACAAAUCUUACACUUUAUAAUGUAAUUUCAUUAGUGCUAAUGUUCCCCUGUCUAAAAUGUCAACCAAAUUUCGCAAAUGCAUCUGAUGUUUACAAGCAAUCCUGUAGAAAUAUGUUGUUAUUACUGUAAACAGUAUAAUCUCCAGGUCUACAUACUGUAGCUAUAUAGUGUUUCACAUCUAAUUCACAAGUCUACAUCUCUACAUGGCUCUGUAGUGUUUUCACAUCUAAUUCACAGGUCUACAUCUCUACAUGGCUCUGUAGUGUUUUCACAUCUAAUUCACAGGUCUACAUCUCUACAUGGCUCUGUAGUGUUUUCACAUCUAAUUCACAAGUCUACAUCUCUAUAUGGCUCUGUAGUGUUUUCACAUCUGAUUCACAAGUCUACAUGGCUCUGUAGUGUUUUCACAUCUAAUUCACAGGUCUACAUCUCUACAUGGCUCUGUAGUGUUUUCACAUCUAAUUCACAGGUCUACAUCUCUACAUGGCUCUGUAGUGUUUUCACAUCUAAUUCACAAGUCUACAUCUCUACAUGGCUCUGUAGUGUUUUCACAUCUAAUUCACAGGUCUACAUCUCUACAUGGCUCUGUAGUGUUUUCACAUCUAAUUCACAAGUCUACAUCUCUAUAUGGCUCUGUAGUGUUUUCACAUCUGAUUCACAAGUCUACAUGGCUCUGUAGUGUUUUCACAUCUAAUUCACAAGUCUACAUCUCUACAUGGCUCUGUAGUGUUUUCACAUCUAAUUCACAGGUCUACAUCUCUACAUGGCUCUGUAGUGUUUUCACAUCUAAUUCACAAGUCUACAUCUCUACAUGGCU
Long non-coding RNA from Oncorhynchus tshawytscha (Chinook salmon), 1563 nucleotides. NCBI's taxonomy places the organism in Eukaryota, Metazoa, Chordata, Actinopteri, Salmoniformes, Salmonidae. The record is from Ensembl.